This 501-nucleotide ribosomal RNA is filed under the name uncultured bacterium. Its description in RNAcentral is "partial 16S ribosomal RNA". It matches the Rfam family "Bacterial small subunit ribosomal RNA", at positions 30 to 523 of the family's 1533-position model. The record is from RNAcentral.
AUUGAACGCUGGCGGCAGGCUUAACACAUGCAAGUCGAGCGGGGGAAGGUAGCUUGCUACUGGACCUAGCGGCGGACGGGUGAGUAAUGCUUAGGAAUCUGCCUAUUAGUGGGGGACAACAUCUCGAAAGGGAUGCUAAUACCGCAUACGUCCUACGGGAGAAAGCAGGGGAUCUUCGGACCUUGCGCUAAUAGAUGAGCCUAAGUCGGAUUAGCUAGUCGGUGGGGUAAAGGCCUACCAAGGCGACGAUCUGUAGCGGGUCUGAUAGGAUGAUCCGCCACACUGGGACUGAGACACGGCCCAGACUCCUGCGGGAUGCAGCAGUGGGGAAUAUUGGACAAUGGGGGGAACCCUGAUCCAGCCAUGCCGCGUGUGUGAAGAAGGCCUUAUGGUUGUAAAGCACUUUAAGCGAGGAGGAGGCUACUCUAGUUAAUACCUAGGGAUAGUGGACGUUACUCGCAGAAUAAGCACCGGCUAACUCUGUGCCAGCCGCCGCGGUAA